Molecule: ribosomal RNA, 492 nt
Filed under: uncultured bacterium
Lineage: Bacteria
Description: partial 16S ribosomal RNA
Rfam family: Bacterial small subunit ribosomal RNA
Source: RNAcentral
AGCGAACGCUGGCGGUAGGCCUAACACAUGCAAGUCGAACGGCAGCACAGUAAGCGCUUGCUCUCACGGGUGGCGAGUGGCGGACGGGUGAGGCAUACAGCGGAAUCUACUUUUUCGUGGGGGAUAACGUAGGGAAACUUACGCUAAUACCGCAAACGACCUACGGGUGAAAGCAGGGGAUCUUCGGACAAUGCGAGCUUGAAUGAGCCGAGGUCGGAUUAGUUAGUUGGCGGGGUAAAGGCCCACCAAGCAAACGAUCCGUACCUGGCCUGAGAGGAGGUCGGGCAACAUGGGAACUGGAAACGGGCCCAGACUCCUACGGGAGGCAGCAGUGGGGAAUAUUGGACAAUGGGCGCAAGCCUGAUCCAGCCAGACCGCGUGGUUGAAGAAGGCCUUCGGGUGGUAAAGCCCGUUUGUUGGGAAAGAAAAGCGGCAGAUUAAAACCCCGCUGUUCUGACGGUACCCAAAGAAUAAGCACCGGCUAACUUCGUG